AAUGCAGGCGUAUGCAAGGAUCCCUUUCUUUGAAGACCAAUAAUUCACCUAUACAAAUCCAAAAGCCAACAAAGUAACUAAAACCAACGCGAGAACCCAUUUCAAUAUCCACAACAAAGACAUUAACCUCAAAAUACACAAACUUGGAAUGCAAAACACAAGGCCUUGCGUUCAGGGAGCAAAAUAUCAGAACCCUAAGUUCCUUAUGUACUAACGGGUGUGCUGAGCAUCUUCAAGCAAAGGUGUGAUCCUGAAUGCUACAAAGGAAAUUGUAGGAAGAUCAACUUCAGUAUAUUUGGUGUAUGAUCCGAUCUCAGAAAGAUAGUUUGAUAUUUGAUCCAGAAAUAAAGAAGAUUGCUAGGAAAUUGAAAAGCAAGCCAAGUUAUAUAAAAAAGCAUUGCAACAAUCCUCUCCUGGCAAUAAUAUUACCAUUGAACUAGUAGUGUUGGGUAGUUCUGAUAAAGAAGAGAUAGUUGAGGAAAAUAGGAACAAUGCUAAUGAUCAACGGCAAAUGGUGUUGCCGGUUCCACCCAGCAAGAAUUUGUCUUCAGGACAUCCAACAUCCAGUUAUUACAAUUUCCCCACAUUGUAUUCAACUAAGUGAAAGGGCAAGAAAUUAUGAGUUGAAAAUGGGGCAUUUUAACAUGUUACCCUCAUUCCAUGGUCUAGCCAAUGAAGAUCAGUUGUCUUUUAUCCGGGAAUUUUAUGUAGUGGUUCGGACUUUUUCAUUAAAUGGGGUGACAAAGGAUGACCUAUGGAUGAGAUGUUUUCCCUAUUAUCUUAAGGAUCGUACAAAGUCUUGACUUCUCAACUUACCAUAGGGAUCUUAAGAAAUUGGGAAGACAUGUAUAAUAUCUUCAUGACUAAAUAUUACUCAUCGUAUAAGACUAUAGAUUUGAGGAAUAAAGGGGAGUCAAUUCAUGAAGAUUGGGAACAUUAUAAGCUGCUACUCACCCAAUGUCCUCUUCAUCAAUACUCUUUAGCUCUGCAAGUGCAACUUUGCUAUGAUGGGUUGAGUCUGACGGCUCAGAACAUGGCAGAUAUCUCAGUUAGAGGAUAUAUUGGGGACAAGAUGCCAGAAGAGUUAGUAAGUUUGUACGAGUUGCGUUAUAGUAACUCUCAACAAAAGGCGAUUUGAGGUAAGAGAAUAGGUGCCUAUGAAGUGGAAUUGCCAAAGGAUUUGGGUUCGUAGGUUGCUGAAUUAAGUCACCAAGUGCAGCAGAUACAGUUAAUGUUAACUCAUGGCACUAAACCUCAGGAAUCUUGUUCUUAUUAUCAUAUAUACAGGCAUACAACUACUAAAAGUUACACCCAAAAGCCUCCUACCUUGGUUGAACAUGUGGACUUUACUAGUGCUUAUGGUGGUCAAAAAUUGCAACAGCAAAGAAAUGCCCUUUUACUAACACUUGCAACCUUGAAUGGAGAAAUCAUUCUAAUUUUCAUGGAAGGAGCAAGGGGCCACGCCUAUGGACCACCUGGUUUCCAAAAUCAGUAGCUAAGAGCUUAGUAUCUACCUUCACUUGUUCAUGAGAAAAAGUCAAGUGCUGAGGAUAUGAUGCUUUAAUAUAUACAAAAGAUGGAUCAAAUAGCGCAAUCUCAACAAGUCUCAAAUCAAAAUCUUGAGAGGCAAAUGGGUCAAUUAGUUAAGGUGUUGAAUGAAAAGGAGCAACGAAAGUUCAAAGGAGGCAAGCAUGGCGGUAACACUUCGUUCAGGUAAGGUAUUGGAGGAUCCCAUUCAGAAAUCCAAAGAGAAGCUAAAUAAGCAAGAUGAGCAAGUUGUUAGGAAAAAAGGUGAAGAAUCUGAGAACAAGGUCCAAAGUUCAUGCAAGGAGGUUAUUGAAGAACAUAUCUCGAUUGAAUUAUCUGAAGUCCGACCAUAUGUGCUACCAAUCCCAUUUUCUUAGUGUUUGAAGAAGAAGACGUGUUAGGAGAUAUCAAAAAUUUUUUGGAGAUGUUAAAAAAAUUGUAAGUGAACAUCCCUUUUGGUGAGGCCAUUGCUAACAUGCCAACUUAUGCAGAAUUCCUCAUGGAGAUAGUUUCUAACAAGUAAUGAUUCAAGGAAUUGCUACAGUUUUGUUGACAGAUAA
Molecule: RNA transcript, 2087 nt
Organism: Coffea arabica (coffee)
Lineage: Eukaryota; Viridiplantae; Streptophyta; Magnoliopsida; Gentianales; Rubiaceae
Gene name: disease resistance protein At4g27190-like
Source: RefSeq, a predicted model, not a curated record